UACGUAGGUGGCAAGCGUUGUCCGGAUUUACUGGGCGUAAAGGGCGCGUAGGCGGCCGAUCAAGUUAGAUGUGAAAGUCCUGGGCUUAACCUGGGGACUGCAUUUGAUACUGAUUGGCUUGAAUUCGGGAGAGGAUAGCGGAAUUCCCAGUGUAGAGGUGAAAUUCGUAGAUAUUGGGAAGAACACCGGUGGCGAAGGCGGCUAUCUGGACCGACAUUGACGCUGAGGCGCGAAAGCGUGGGGAGCAAACAGG
Molecule: ribosomal RNA, 253 nt
Filed under: uncultured bacterium
Lineage: Bacteria
Description: partial 16S ribosomal RNA
Rfam family: Bacterial small subunit ribosomal RNA
Source: RNAcentral